UUAAGCGACUAAGCGUACACGGUGGAUGCCCUGGCAGUCAGAGGCGAUGAAGGACGUGCUAAUCUGCGAUAAGCGUCGGUGAGGUGAUAUGAACCGUUAUAACCGGCGAUUUCCGAAUGGGGAAACCCAGUGUGUUUCGACACACUAUCAUUAACUGAAUCCAUAGGUUAAUGAGGCGAACCGGGGGAACUGAAACAUCUAAGUACCCCGAGGAAAAGAAAUCAACCGAGAUUCCCCCAGUAGCGGCGAGCGAACGGGGAGGAGCCCAGAGCCUGAAUCAGUGUGUGUGUUAGUGGAAGCGUCUGGAAAGGCGCGCGAUACAGGGUGACAGCCCCGUACACAAAAAUGCACAUAUUGUGAGCUCGAUGAGUAGGGCGGGACACGUGGUAUCCUGUCUGAAUAUGGGGGGACCAUCCUCCAAGGCUAAAUACUCCUGACUGACCGAUAGUGAACCAGUACCGUGAGGGAAAGGCGAAAAGAACCCCGGCGAGGGGAGUGAAAAAGAACCUGAAACCGUGUACGUACAAGCAGUGGGAGCCUCUUUAUGGGGUGACUGCGUACCUUUUGUAUAAUGGGUCAGCGACUUAUAUUCUGUAGCAAGGUUAACCGAAUAGGGGAGCCGAAGGGAAACCGAGUCUUAACUGGGCGUUAAGUUGCAGGGUAUAGACCCGAAACCCGGUGAUCUAGCCAUGGGCAGGUUGAAGGUUGGGUAACACUAACUGGAGGACCGAACCGACUAAUGUUGAAAAAUUAGCGGAUGACUUGUGGCUGGGGGUGAAAGGCCAAUCAAACCGGGAGAUAGCUGGUUCUCCCCGAAAGCUAUUUAGGUAGCGCCUCGUGAAUUCAUCUCCGGGGGUAGAGCACUGUUUCGGCAAGGGGGUCAUCCCGACUUACCAACCCGAUGCAAACUGCGAAUACCGGAGAAUGUUAUCACGGGAGACACACGGCGGGUGCUAACGUCCGUCGUGAAGAGGGAAACAACCCAGACCGCCAGCUAAGGUCCCAAAGUCAUGGUUAAGUGGGAAACGAUGUGGGAAGGCCCAGACAGCCAGGAUGUUGGCUUAGAAGCAGCCAUCAUUUAAAGAAAGCGUAAUAGCUCACUGGUCGAGUCGGCCUGCGCGGAAGAUGUAACGGGGCUAAACCAUGCACCGAAGCUGCGGCAGCGACACUAUGUGUUGUUGGGUAGGGGAGCGUUCUGUAAGCCUGUGAAGGUGGCCUGUGAGGGUUGCUGGAGGUAUCAGAAGUGCGAAUGCUGACAUAAGUAACGAUAAAGCGGGUGAAAAGCCCGCUCGCCGGAAGACCAAGGGUUCCUGUCCAACGUUAAUCGGGGCAGGGUGAGUCGACCCCUAAGGCGAGGCCGAAAGGCGUAGUCGAUGGGAAACAGGUUAAUAUUCCUGUACUUGGUGUUACUGCGAAGGGGGGACGGAGAAGGCUAUGUUGGCCGGGCGACGGUUGUCCCGGUUUAAGCGUGUAGGCUGGUUUUCCAGGCAAAUCCGGAAAACCAAGGCUGAGGCGUGAUGACGAGGCACUACGGUGCUGAAGCGACAAAUGCCCUGCUUCCAGGAAAAGCCUCUAAGCAUCAGGUAACAUCAAAUCGUACCCCAAACCGACACAGGUGGUCAGGUAGAGAAUACCAAGGCGCUUGAGAGAACUCGGGUGAAGGAACUAGGCAAAAUGGUGCCGUAACUUCGGGAGAAGGCACGCUGAUAUGUAGGUGAAGCGACUUGCUCGUGGAGCUGAAAUCAGUCGAAGAUACCAGCUGGCUGCAACUGUUUAUUAAAAACACAGCACUGUGCAAACACGAAAGUGGACGUAUACGGUGUGACGCCUGCCCGGUGCCGGAAGGUUAAUUGAUGGGGUUAGCGGUAACGCGAAGCUCUUGAUCGAAGCCCCGGUAAACGGCGGCCGUAACUAUAACGGUCCUAAGGUAGCGAAAUUCCUUGUCGGGUAAGUUCCGACCUGCACGAAUGGCGUAAUGAUGGCCAGGCUGUCUCCACCCGAGACUCAGUGAAAUUGAACUCGCUGUGAAGAUGCAGUGUACCCGCGGCAAGACGGAAAGACCCCGUGAACCUUUACUAUAGCUUGACACUGAACAUUGAGCCUUGAUGUGUAGGAUAGGUGGGAGGCUUUGAAGUGUGGACGCCAGUCUGCAUGGAGCCGACCUUGAAAUACCACCCUUUAAUGUUUGAUGUUCUAACGUUGGCCCGUAAUCCGGGUUGCGGACAGUGUCUGGUGGGUAGUUUGACUGGGGCGGUCUCCUCCUAAAGAGUAACGGAGGAGCACGAAGGUUGGCUAAUCCUGGUCGGACAUCAGGAGGUUAGUGCAAUGGCAUAAGCCAGCUUGACUGCGAGCGUGACGGCGCGAGCAGGUGCGAAAGCAGGUCAUAGUGAUCCGGUGGUUCUGAAUGGAAGGGCCAUCGCUCAACGGAUAAAAGGUACUCCGGGGAUAACAGGCUGAUACCGCCCAAGAGUUCAUAUCGACGGCGGUGUUUGGCACCUCGAUGUCGGCUCAUCACAUCCUGGGGCUGAAGUAGGUCCCAAGGGUAUGGCUGUUCGCCAUUUAAAGUGGUACGCGAGCUGGGUUUAGAACGUCGUGAGACAGUUCGGUCCCUAUCUGCCGUGGGCGCUGGAGAACUGAGGGGGGCUGCUCCUAGUACGAGAGGACCGGAGUGGACGCAUCACUGGUGUUUGGGUUGUCAUGCCAAUGGCACUGCCCGGUAGCUAAAUGCGGAAGAGAUAAGUGCUGAAAGCAUCUAAGCACGAAACUUGCCCCGAGAUGAGUUCUCCCUGAGACUUAGAGUCUCCUGAAGGAACGUUGAAGACGACGACGUUGAUAGGCCGGGUGUGUAAGCGCAGCGAUGCGUUGAGCUAACCGGUACUAAUGAACCGUGAGGCUUAACCUU
RNAcentral lists this ribosomal RNA (2902 nucleotides) under Escherichia coli HVH 59 (4-1119338). RNAcentral describes it as "bacterial LSU rRNA". It matches the Rfam family "Bacterial large subunit ribosomal RNA". Lineage: Bacteria; Pseudomonadati; Pseudomonadota; Gammaproteobacteria; Enterobacterales; Enterobacteriaceae. The record is from RNAcentral.